RNAcentral lists this unclassified non-coding RNA (230 nucleotides) under Bombus terrestris (buff-tailed bumblebee). Its description in RNAcentral is "misc RNA ENSBTSG00005023898.1". Lineage: Eukaryota; Metazoa; Arthropoda; Insecta; Hymenoptera; Apidae. The record is from RNAcentral.
CACACGUGACAACAAAUGCACGCACGUAGCCUAACAAUCAUGCACAUCGGAUACCCGUGAAAGUGCAAGUUACAAACUCAAAAGAAGAACGAAGAAAGUGGAACAGGGGCUCGAACGAAGAAGAAAAGAUCCAUCGAGCCAUGUGGCAGGCGCAAACGCUCCCACACCGGAGGCAGUAACGAGCCAUCAAGUCUGCCGGUAAUCGAAUGCCAACUGCGGUCUUGUGUUUG